RNAcentral lists this ribosomal RNA (304 nucleotides) under uncultured bacterium. RNAcentral describes it as "bacterial SSU rRNA". It matches the Rfam family "Bacterial small subunit ribosomal RNA", at positions 28 to 334 of the family's 1533-position model. The record is from RNAcentral.
GACGAACGCUGGCGGCGUGCUUAACACAUGCAAGUCGAACGGAAAGGCCCUGCUUGCAGGGUGCUCGAGUGGCGAACGGGUGAGUAACACGUGGGUGAUCUGCCCUGCACUUCGGGAUAAGCCUGGGAAACUGGGUCUAAUACCGGAUAGGAGCCAUUUUUAGUGUGAUGGUUGGAAAGUUUUUUCGGUGUAGGAUGAGCUCGCGGCCUAUCAGCUUGUUGGUGGGGUAAUGGCCUACCAAGGCGGCGACGGGUAGCCGGCCUGAGAGGGUGGACGGCCACAUUGGGACUGAGAUACGGCCCAG